ACGGCUCAGUAACACGUAUACAACCUACCUAUAACAGGGGGAUAGCCUUUCGAAAGAGAGAUUAAUACCCCGUAAUAAAUUGAGUGGCAUCACCUGAUUUUGAAAGCUACGGCGGUUAUAGAUGGGUAUGCGUCUGAUUAGCUAGUUGGUGAGGUAACGGCUCACCAAGGCGACGAUCANUNNGGGAUCUGAGAGGACUAACCCCCACACUGGUACUGAGACACGGACCAGACUCCUACGGGAGGCAGCAGUAAGGAAUAUUGGUCAAUGGAGGCAACUCUGAACCAGCCAUGCCGCGUGCAGGAUGACGGCCCUAUGGGUUGUAAACUGCUUUUGUACCAGAGAAAACCUACUCACGUGUGAGUAGCUGAUAGUAUGGUAAGAAUAAGCAUCGGCUAACUUCGUGCCAGCAGCCGCGGUAAGACGAAGGAUGCAAGCGUUAUCCGGAUUCAUUGGGUUUAAAGGGUGCGUAGGCGGACUUGUAAGUCAGUGGUGAAAUCUCUUCGCUUAACGAA
RNAcentral lists this ribosomal RNA (515 nucleotides) under uncultured bacterium. Its description in RNAcentral is "bacterial SSU rRNA". It matches the Rfam family "Bacterial small subunit ribosomal RNA", at positions 102 to 616 of the family's 1533-position model. The record is from RNAcentral.